This 663-nucleotide ribosomal RNA is filed under the name Triticum aestivum (bread wheat). RNAcentral describes it as "partial small subunit ribosomal RNA". Lineage: Eukaryota; Viridiplantae; Streptophyta; Magnoliopsida; Poales; Poaceae. The record is from RNAcentral.
AUGGCGAACGGCGAACAGGACAUGGCCACCGCUAAAUUGAUGGAGACGGAGGGGCUGAAGGUCCUUGCCGUGGACGACGAUCCCGUCUGCCUCCAGACCUUGACGCAGAUGCUUCGGCGUGGCGGCUACGAAGUGACGGCCAGCGCCUCGCCCGCGGAUGCGCUGAGAGAGGUGGAGAAGAACCCGGAUGGGAUCGAUUUCAUCAUGACUGUCGCGCAGACCCGGGGCCGGGGGCGAGGGAUGGACGGCUUCGGCCUUCUCAAGCGCGUCGGGAAACGUUACCCAGUCAUCCUCGUGUUCUCAGGCGACGAGACCAUGGAGACAAGGGAAAGGGGAAAGCAGGGAGGCGCUUGCUACUUGAUGGAAAAGCCCUUGCGUGACGCGCAGAUAUAUUUCAUCUGGCAGCAAGUCGUGCGGUGGAGGCGCAAAGCCGCCGGCGCAGCCACGGAGAACCCUAACCCUCGCCACAGCCAAGGCAUCCGUCUGGAUGACACGCCAAGGAAGAGAGGGCAAGGAGUGAACGAUUCCAGCAAGGGCAAGGGGGCUUCAGAGGGCGGCCUGCAGCUGGGGAUCACAAAGAAGAAAAAGGUCGAGUGGACCCGAGAGAUGCAUGUAUUGUUCGUCAAUGCGGUCACCCAGCUAAAGACAACAGGAGGUGCGUGA